This 328-nucleotide long non-coding RNA is filed under the name Linum usitatissimum (flax). RNAcentral describes it as "long non-coding RNA (LUSI_LNC001113)". Lineage: Eukaryota; Viridiplantae; Streptophyta; Magnoliopsida; Malpighiales; Linaceae. The record is from RNAcentral.
CGAAAUCAUCAGCUUCUUCUAAUGUAUCUGCAUUAUGAACAGGAUCAAAACGCACCCUUUCCUGCAUCCGAUUAGGAGGAGACGCGAGAACUCCUCCAGAUAUUGAUGCUGAUGCUGGUCUAAUCGCAAUAACUGUCGAAGCAGCUUCUAUAGUUUCUUCGUUGACGUUAUCACUGCUCGAUCUUCUCGCUUCCGAAUGAUCCUCAAGCAUGGAAAAUACCUUCGGAAUUUCAAUGCUGACUUCUGAUUCGGAAUCCACUCCGACAUCUGGAGACAUUUCCUGCUUCUCAGCAGAAGUAGUACUAUGAUCAGUACUGUAAGCUGCAUU